This 222-nucleotide ribosomal RNA is filed under the name Triticum aestivum (bread wheat). RNAcentral describes it as "partial small subunit ribosomal RNA". Lineage: Eukaryota; Viridiplantae; Streptophyta; Magnoliopsida; Poales; Poaceae. The record is from RNAcentral.
UCCGCAGGAAUCAAUGGCCUUCUCCAUUACACUCCUCGGAUUCUUGAACAAGUUGGAGUAGUUAAUUUGUUUUCAAACAUUGGACUUGGCUCUCAUUCAACCGCAAUCCUCCUAAGUGCCAUAAAUGCUUUGCUCAUGCUGCCUUGUAUAACUGCUUCAAUGAUGCUGAUGGAUAUUUGUGGACGAAGAUUAACUCUGAGACUACUUGAACAUCAAACAUAA